CUGCAUUCAAGCACAACUCCGAUCUGCAUUGUAGAACCAUGCAUUCACAUUAACAUACAACUUAGACUCAGAACUCACAUACAUAUGCUAAAACUUGACACAAUUAGAUUUGAACAUUUACACACACUCACACUAGAUUCAUACUUUUGCAUUAACACACACAAAUGCUAUAGAGAAAAAACAAUGACAUUUACUGAUAUACAAUUACAGUCAGCAUUACAUAAUUCCUCCAUGC
Pelobates cultripes (western spadefoot toad) is the source of this 235-nucleotide non-coding RNA. NCBI's taxonomy places the organism in Eukaryota, Metazoa, Chordata, Amphibia, Anura, Pelobatidae. The record is from the annotation of a GenBank genome assembly.